CCUUCGGGUUAGUGGCGGACGGGUGAGUAACGCGUGAGAAUCUGCCCUCAGGAGGGGGAUAACGGCUGGAAACGGCCGCUAAUACCCCAUAUGCCGAGAGGUGAAACGAAUUUCGCCUGAGGAUGAGCUCGCGUCUGAUUAGCUAGUUGGUGGGGUAAGAGCCUACCAAGGCUUCGAUCAGUAGCUGGUCUGAGAGGAUGAUCAGCCACACUGGGACUGAGACACGGCCCAGACUCCUACGGGAGGCAGCAGUGGGGAAUUUUCCGCAAUGGGCGAAAGCCUGACGGAGCAACGCCGCGUGAGGGAUGAAGGCCUCUGGGCUGUAAACCUCUUUUCUCAAGGAAGAAGAUCUGACGGUACUUGAGGAAUAAGCCACGGCUAAUUCCGUGCCAGCAGCCGCGGUAAUGCGGGAGUGGCAAGCGUUAUCCGGAAUUAUUGGGCGUAAAGCGUCCGCAGGCGGCCUCGUAAGUCUGUCGUUAAAGCGUGGAGCUUAACUCCAUUUCAGCGAUGGAAACUGUGAGGCUAGAGUGUGGUAGGGGCAGAGGGAAUUCCCGGUGUAGCGGUGAAAUGCGUAGAUAUCGGGAAGAACACCAGUGGCGAAGGCGCUCUGCUGGGCCAUAACUGACGCUCAUGGACGAAAGCCAGGGGAGCGAAAGGGAUUAGAUACCCCUGUAGUCCUGGCCGUAAACGAUGAACACUAGGUGUCGGGGGAAUCGACCCCCUCGGUGUCGUAGCCAACGCGUUAAGUGUUCCGCCUGGGGAGUACGCACGCAAGUGUGAAACUCAA
This 787-nucleotide ribosomal RNA is filed under the name uncultured cyanobacterium. Its description in RNAcentral is "bacterial SSU rRNA". It matches the Rfam family "Bacterial small subunit ribosomal RNA", at positions 84 to 904 of the family's 1533-position model. The record is from RNAcentral. Lineage: Bacteria; Bacillati; Cyanobacteriota.